This 253-nucleotide ribosomal RNA is filed under the name uncultured bacterium. Its description in RNAcentral is "partial 16S ribosomal RNA". It matches the Rfam family "Bacterial small subunit ribosomal RNA", at positions 524 to 776 of the family's 1533-position model. The record is from RNAcentral.
UACGAAGGGGACUAGCGUUGUUCGGAAUUACUGGGCGUAAAGCGCACGUAGGCGGAUUUGUAAGUCAGGGGUGAAAUCCCGGGGCUCAACCUCGGAACUGCCUUUGAUACUGCAAAUCUCGAGUCCGAUAGAGGUGGGUGGAACUGCGAGUGUAGAGGUGAAAUCCGUAGAUAUUCGCAAGAACACCAGUGGCGAAGGCGGCUCACUGGCCCGGUACUGACGCUGAGGUGCGAAAGCGUGGGGAGCAAACAGG